UACGUAGGAUACGAGCGUUAUCCGGAUUUAUUGGGUUUAAAGGGAGCGUAGGCGGACUUUUAAGUGAGAUGUGAAAUACUCGGGCUCAACUUGAGUGCUGCAUUUCAAACUGGAAGUCUAGAGUGCAGGAGAGGAGAAUGGAAUUCCUAGUGUAGCGGUGAAAUGCGUAGAGAUUAGGAAGAACACCAGUGGCGAAGGCGAUUCUCUGGACUGUAACUGACGCUGAGGCUCGAAAGCGUGGGGAGCAAACAGG
RNAcentral lists this ribosomal RNA (253 nucleotides) under uncultured bacterium. RNAcentral describes it as "partial 16S ribosomal RNA". It matches the Rfam family "Bacterial small subunit ribosomal RNA", at positions 524 to 776 of the family's 1533-position model. The record is from RNAcentral.